Molecule: non-coding RNA, 69 nt
Organism: Ictidomys tridecemlineatus (thirteen-lined ground squirrel)
Lineage: Eukaryota; Metazoa; Chordata; Mammalia; Rodentia; Sciuridae
Source: Rfam
GGGGCUGUAGCUCAGUGACAGAGCGCUUGCCUAGCAUGCAAAAGGAACUGGGUUCAAUCCUCAGCACCA